UUGAACGCUGGCGGCAGGCCUAACCCAUGCCAGUCGAGCGGAUGAAGGGAGCUUGCUCCUGGAUUCAGCGGCGGACGGGUGAGUAAUGCCUAGGAAUCUGCCUGGUAGUGGGGGAUAACGUCCGGAAACGGGCGCUAAUACCGCAUACGUCCUGAGGGAGAAAGUGGGGGAUCUUCGGACCUCACGCUAUCAGAUGAGCCUAGGUCGGAUUAGCUAGUUGGUGGGGUAAAGGCCUACCAAGGCGACGAUCCGUAACUGGUCUGAGAGGAUGAUCAGUCACACUGGAACUGAGACACGGUCCAGACUCCUACGGGAGGCAGCAGUGGGGAAUAUUGGACAAUGGGCGAAGGCCUGAUCCAGCCAUGCCGCGUGUGUGAAGAAGGUCUUCGGAUUGUAAAGCACUUUAAGUUGGGAGGAAGGGCAGUAAGUUAAUACCUUGCUGUUUUGACGUUACCAACAGAAUAAGCACCGGCUAACUUCGUG
Molecule: ribosomal RNA, 483 nt
Filed under: uncultured bacterium
Lineage: Bacteria
Description: partial 16S ribosomal RNA
Rfam family: Bacterial small subunit ribosomal RNA
Source: RNAcentral